This 245-nucleotide ribosomal RNA is filed under the name uncultured bacterium. Its description in RNAcentral is "partial 16S ribosomal RNA". It matches the Rfam family "Bacterial small subunit ribosomal RNA", at positions 524 to 768 of the family's 1533-position model. The record is from RNAcentral.
GACAGAGGUUGCAAACGUUGUUCGGAAUUACUGGGCAUAAAGCGCACGUAGGCGGUUCGUUAAGUCAGGUGUGAAAUCCCCCGGCUCAACCGGGGAAUUGCGCCUGAUACUGGCGGGCUAGAGAUCGAUAGGGGUGAGUGGAACUCCAGGUGGAGCGGUGAAAUGCGUAGAUAUCUGGAGGAACACCGGUGGCGAAAGCGGCUCACUGGAUCGAUACUGACGCUGAGGCACGAAAGCCAGGGGAG